This 564-nucleotide ribosomal RNA is filed under the name Streptomyces sp. 411C04. RNAcentral describes it as "bacterial SSU rRNA". It matches the Rfam family "Bacterial small subunit ribosomal RNA", at positions 93 to 671 of the family's 1533-position model. The record is from RNAcentral. RNAcentral also lists the same sequence under 3 other names. Lineage: Bacteria; Bacillati; Actinomycetota; Actinomycetes; Kitasatosporales; Streptomycetaceae.
UAGUGGCGAACGGGUGAGUAACACGUGGGCAAUCUGCCCUUCACUCUGGGACAAGCCCUGGAAACGGGGUCUAAUACCGGAUAUCACUUCUGCAGGCAUCUGUGGGAGUUGAAAGCUCCGGCGGUGAAGGAUGAGCCCGCGGCCUAUCAGCUUGUUGGUGAGGUAAUGGCUCACCAAGGCGACGACGGGUAGCCGGCCUGAGAGGGCGACCGGCCACACUGGGACUGAGACACGGCCCAGACUCCUACGGGAGGCAGCAGUGGGGAAUAUUGCACAAUGGGCGAAAGCCUGAUGCAGCGACGCCGCGUGAGGGAUGACGGCCUUCGGGUUGUAAACCUCUUUCAGCAGGGAAGAAGCGAAAGUGACGGUACCUGCAGAAGAAGCGCCGGCUAACUACGUGCCAGCAGCCGCGGUAAUACGUAGGGCGCAAGCGUUGUCCGGAAUUAUUGGGCGUAAAGAGCUCGUAGGCGGCUUGUCACGUCGGGUGUGAAAGCCCGGGGCUUAACCCCGGGUCUGCAUUCGAUACGGGCUAGCUAGAGUGUGGUAGGGGAGAUCGGAAUUCCU